GAAUGGCUUUGGGGGUGUCCAAAAUAAGGACUGAGAUUUAUACCCUUUGAACCUGAAACAGUUGGUACUGUCGUAGGAAAAAGCGUGCGCGAUCGU
This 96-nucleotide non-coding RNA is filed under the name Dyadobacter sp. Leaf189. RNAcentral describes it as "TPP riboswitch aptamer (THI element)". It matches the Rfam family "TPP riboswitch aptamer (THI element)". Rfam says of the family: Vitamin B(1) in its active form thiamin pyrophosphate (TPP) is an essential coenzyme that is synthesised by coupling of pyrimidine and thiazole moieties in bacteria. The previously detected thiamin-regulatory element, thi box was extended, resulting in a new, highly conserved RNA secondary structure, the THI element, which is widely distributed in eubacteria and also occurs in some archaea. Lineage: Bacteria; Pseudomonadati; Bacteroidota; Cytophagia; Cytophagales; Spirosomataceae. The record is from Rfam by way of RNAcentral. RNAcentral also lists the same sequence under 1 other name.